Molecule: long non-coding RNA, 1059 nt
Filed under: Felis catus (domestic cat)
Lineage: Eukaryota; Metazoa; Chordata; Mammalia; Carnivora; Felidae
Description: lncRNA (ENSFCAG00000052862.1)
Source: RNAcentral
AAGGAGGGCACUUGUUGGUAUGAGCAUUGGUUGUAUGUAAGUGAUGCAUCACUAAAUUCUACUCCAGAAGCUGAUAUUACACUAUAUGUUAACUAACUUGAAUUUAAAUUAAAAAAAAAAAAGAGAAAAGUGCAUGUAUGUUUAAAAUCUCUUAGAACUAUACAUGGGAAGAAGCAAAUUUCACAAUUUUUUAAUUUAAAAACUUUGUUAUUUUUUAACGAUUGAUUUUUUUUUCAACGUUUAUUUAUUUUUGGGACAGAGAGAGACAGAGCAUGAACGGGGGAGGGGCAGAGAGAGAGGGAGACACAGAAUCAGAAACAGGCUCCAGGCUCUGAGCCAUCAGCCCAGAGCCUGAUGCGGGGCUCGAACUCACGGACCGCGAGAUCGUGACCUGGCUGAAGUCGGACGCUUAACCGACUGCGCCACCCAGGCGCCCCUUUUAACGAUUGAUUUUAAUUUUGCAGUUAAAAUUUUAAAAAGAAAACUGCCUUGCUGAGUUGUGAUUGGCAUUCAGUAAAAUAUAAUUCAUCUGAUUCGUAAGAGAUGCUCGACAAACAUCAGCUGCUAGUCCUGUUUUCCUGGGGAGUAGAGAGUAGGGGUUCAGAGCAUAGGCUCUUAAGUUAACUGGCCUACAUUCAGAUCUUGCUGUGUCAUCUACUGGCUUGUGCCCUGUCUGUGCCUAGUGUUCUCUGUAAAAUGGAGUCAUGAUUGUAUCUAUCCUAUAGGGUUGUUAAACAGGUUAAAUCACUUACUGUAGGCAAAUACUUAAUGAAUGUACACUCUUAUUAUUAACAUGGUUUCUCUCUAUUGAUUUCAUAGGAGACCAGCUGGGAAGUAGUAUGGGUCUCUGAACUUGGCAUGCAUUGCCACCACAAAAGGUCUCUGCUGGUGUUUGCCUGUGAUGACAAAGAUGGGAAUGAAAGGUUUCUGAAAUUCUCUACCUAGGAGGAGUUAGAGGAAGACUUUCUGGCUAAGUAGAAGAAGCACACCCACUAAGAGAGAACCCAGUGCAGUGACCAGCACAGCUUGUGGAACCUGACACCCUUGACUCCUGGGAAC